Molecule: ribosomal RNA, 234 nt
Filed under: uncultured bacterium
Lineage: Bacteria
Description: partial 16S ribosomal RNA
Rfam family: Bacterial small subunit ribosomal RNA
Source: RNAcentral
GAUCCUGGCUCAGGAUGAACGCUAGCGACGGGCUUAACACAUGCAAGUCGAGGGGCAGCACAGGUAGCAAUACCGGGUGGCGACCGGCGCACGGGUGAGUAACGCGUAUGCAACUUGCCUAUCAGAGGGGGAUAACCCGGCGAAAGUCGGACUAAUACCGCAUGAAGCAGGGGCCCCGCAUGGGGAUAUUUGCUAAAGAUUUAUCGCUGAUAGAUAGGCAUGCGUUCCAUUAGG